This 171-nucleotide ribosomal RNA is filed under the name uncultured Flavobacterium sp. RNAcentral describes it as "partial 16S ribosomal RNA". It matches the Rfam family "Bacterial small subunit ribosomal RNA", at positions 355 to 523 of the family's 1533-position model. Lineage: Bacteria; Pseudomonadati; Bacteroidota; Flavobacteriia; Flavobacteriales; Flavobacteriaceae. The record is from RNAcentral.
UGAGGAAUAUUGGACAAUGGAGGCAACUCUGAUCCAGCCAUGCCGCGUGCAGGAAGACUGCCCUAUGGGUUGUAAACUGCUUUUAUACAGGAARAAACCACUCUACGUGUAGAGUUCUGACGGUACUGUAAGAAUAAGGAUCGGCUAACUCCGUGCCASCAGCCGCGGUAA